ACGGGCGGGUGCGCGGCCGCUUUGUUCUUAAGUAUUGGACAAAGAGGAAAGUCCGAACUUUACCCGCGCUUUGCGCGGAAAACGGUAGCAGGCAAUUCCUGCAGGACGAAAGUCUAAAGGUGCGAGCAGAGACGCUCUUGCCGGAAACGGCGGAGUAUCCUUUAACGGGAUAAGUUUCCGCAGUAAUGCGGAAAGUGAAACGGCUAAACCCUUACCGGAAUGCAAGGCUGAAGUAUGGCCGCUUGACCGUUAAAAGCGAUUUUAACGGCAGAGAAAUGGCCGCGCUUUUAAAAAGGAAACUUUUUAAAAGACAGAAUUCGGUGUAUAGCCCGCCUUAAAAA
Molecule: RNase P RNA, 341 nt
Filed under: Endomicrobium sp.
Lineage: Bacteria; Pseudomonadati; Elusimicrobiota; Endomicrobiia; Endomicrobiales; Endomicrobiaceae
Description: RNase P RNA component class A
Rfam family: Bacterial RNase P class A
About the family: Ribonuclease P (RNase P) is a ubiquitous endoribonuclease, found in archaea, bacteria and eukarya as well as chloroplasts and mitochondria. Its best characterised activity is the generation of mature 5'-ends of tRNAs by cleaving the 5'-leader elements of precursor-tRNAs.
Source: RNAcentral